This is a non-coding RNA of Gorilla gorilla gorilla (western lowland gorilla), 110 nucleotides long. RefSeq annotates it as microRNA mir-4484. Lineage: Eukaryota; Metazoa; Chordata; Mammalia; Primates; Hominidae. The transcript has a single exon. The record is from RefSeq and is marked provisional.
AGUGUCUGGGGUUUCCUCUGCCUUUUUUUCCAAUGAAAAUAACGAAAACUGUUAUUUCCCAUUGAGGGGGAAAAAGGCGGGAGAAGCCCCAGCAGAAAUGAAGCUGCUCC